CGGGAACGUACACAAGCCUUGGAUCAGCUCCAGUGUCCACAGCAGAGAAAAGAAGUUGAAACUGAUCUUACUGUGGAUUUGCCAAGGAACGGGGAUGUUUUAGAAGACUUCAUCUAAUGUUCCCCUACUGGAUGAGCAUUUAGGAGAAGUAUACAACCAACAAUCCAUUCUGUCCAACACACCACCAACUGGAUAUUCUGACUGGACCCCGACUCUUCCUCACCCCAUCUCAUAUUUGUUUCAACU
This is a long non-coding RNA of Alexandromys fortis (reed vole), 246 nucleotides long. RefSeq lists it as uncharacterized. The record is from RefSeq and is a predicted model, not a curated record. The transcript is spliced from 3 exons. NCBI's taxonomy places the organism in Eukaryota, Metazoa, Chordata, Mammalia, Rodentia, Cricetidae.